Molecule: ribosomal RNA, 316 nt
Filed under: Matilda sp. CG272
Lineage: Eukaryota; Metazoa; Arthropoda; Arachnida; Araneae; Cyatholipidae
Description: partial 12S ribosomal RNA
Source: RNAcentral
AGGUACUAACAAAGUUUUAGUUAAACCAAUAUAACUUGGCGGCAUUUCAUUUUAUUAGAGGAACCUGUUCACUAAUCGACACUCCACGAUUAAUUUCACUUAUAAUAAAAUUUUAUAUACCGCCAUAUCAGAAUCAAUUAAGAAAUUUGUUUCAAAAUAUAUUUUAUCAAAAUAUAGGUAAAGGUGUAGACAAUAUAUAAGUCUGAAUGGGUUACAAUAAAAACAUUUAAGGAUAAAUAAAUAAAAUUUUACUUUUAAAGAGGAUUUAUAAGUAACUUUUAACUAUUAAUUUAAAUUGAACAAAAUAAAGAUGUGU